This 406-nucleotide ribosomal RNA is filed under the name uncultured bacterium. RNAcentral describes it as "bacterial SSU rRNA". It matches the Rfam family "Bacterial small subunit ribosomal RNA", at positions 359 to 777 of the family's 1533-position model. The record is from RNAcentral.
GAAUAUUGCACAAUGGGCGAAAGCCUGAUGCAGCGACGCCGCGUGAGGGAUGACGGCCUUCGGGUUGUAAACCUCUUUCAGUAGGGAAGAAGCGAAAGUGACGGUACCUGCAGAAGAAGCGCCGGCUAACUACGUCCCAGCAGCCGCGGUAAUACGUAGGGCGCAAGCGUUAUCCGGAAUUAUUGGGCGUAAAGAGCUCGUAGGCGGUUUGUCGCGUCUAUCGUGAAAGUCCGAGGCUCAACUUCGGAUCUGCGGUGGGUACGGGCAGACUAGAGUGAUGUAGGGGAGAGUGGAAUUCCUGGUGUAGCGGUGAAAUGCGCAGAUAUCAGGAGGAACACCGAUGGCGAAGGCAGGUCUCUGGGCAUUAACUGACGCUGAGGAGCGAAAGCAUGGGGAGCGAACAGGA